AUCUAGCCCUGAUUGAAGAGAAAAUCUUUUUUGUAAAAAAAAGAUUGUAACGAAAAGCAGGAAUAUGG
RNAcentral lists this small RNA (68 nucleotides) under Flavobacterium aquatile LMG 4008 = ATCC 11947. RNAcentral's name for it is "Flavobacterium aquatile LMG 4008 Flavo-1 RNA". It matches the Rfam family "Flavo-1 RNA". The record is from Rfam by way of RNAcentral. Lineage: Bacteria; Pseudomonadati; Bacteroidota; Flavobacteriia; Flavobacteriales; Flavobacteriaceae.